This 479-nucleotide ribosomal RNA is filed under the name uncultured bacterium. RNAcentral describes it as "bacterial SSU rRNA". It matches the Rfam family "Bacterial small subunit ribosomal RNA", at positions 28 to 507 of the family's 1533-position model. The record is from RNAcentral.
GAUGAACGCUGGCGGCGUUGCUUAACACAUGCAAGUCGAACGGGAACUUUUUUAUUGAAGCUUCGGCAGAUUUAGCUGGUUUCUAGUGGCGGACGGGUGAGUAACGCGUGGGUAACCUGCCCUAUACAGGGGGAUAACAACCAGAAAUGGUUGCUAAUACCGCAUAAGCGCACAGGACCGCAUGGUCCGGUGUGAAAAACUCCGGUGGUAUAGGAUGGACCCGCGUUGGAUUAGCCAGUUGGCAGGGUAACGGCCUACCAAAGCGACGAUCAGUAGCCGGCCUGAGAGGGUGAACGGCCACAUUGGGACUGAGACACGGCCCAAACUCCUACGGGAGGCAGCAGUGGGGAAUAUUGCACAAUGGGGGAAACCCUGAUGCAGCGACGCCGCGUGAGUGAUGAAGUAUUUCGGUAUGUAAAGCUCUAUCAGCAGGGAAGAAAGUGACGGUACCUGAAUAAGAAGCCCCGGCUAACUACGUG